This 468-nucleotide ribosomal RNA is filed under the name uncultured bacterium. RNAcentral's name for it is "partial 16S ribosomal RNA". It matches the Rfam family "Bacterial small subunit ribosomal RNA", at positions 28 to 507 of the family's 1533-position model. The record is from RNAcentral.
GACGAACGCUGGCGGCGUGCUUAACACAUGCAAGUCGAACGGAAAGGCCCUGCUUUUGUGGGGUGCUCGAGUGGCGAACGGGUGAGUAACACGUGAGUAACCUGCCCUUGACUUUGGGAUAACUUCAGGAAACUGGGGCUAAUACCGGAUAGGAGCUCCUGCUGCAUGGUGGGGGUUGGACAGUUUCGGCGGUUGGGGCUGGACUCGCGGCUUAUCAGCUUGUUGGUUGGGUAGUGGCAUACCAAGGCAUUGACGGGUAGCCGGCCUGAGAGGGUGACCAGCCACAAUGGGACUGCGAUACGGCGCAGAGUGCUACGGGAGGCAGCAGUGGGGAAUAUUGCACAAUGGGCGGGAGUGUGAUGCAGCGACGCCGCGUGCGUGAUGACGGUCUUCGGGUUGUAAACCGCUUUCGCCUGUGACGAAGCGUGAGUGACGGUAAUGGGUAAAGAAGCACCGGCUAACUACGUG